GAUGAACGCUGACAGAAUGCUUAACACAUGCAAGUCAACUUGAACUUCGGUUUGGGUGGCGGACGGGUGAGUAACGCGUAAAGAACUUGCCUCACAGAUAGGGACAACAUUUGGAAACGAAUGCUAAUACCUGAUAUUAUGAUUUUAGGGCAUCCUAGGAUUAUGAAAGCUAUAUGCGCUGUGAGAGAGCUUUGCGUCCCAUUAGCUAGUUGGAGAGGUAACGGCUCACCAAGGCGAUGAUGGGUAGCCGGCCUGAGAGGGUGAUCGGCCACAAGGGGACUGAGACACGGCCCUUACUCCUACGGGAGGCAGCAGUGGGGAAUACUGGACAAUGGACCAAGAGUCUGAUCCAGCAAUUCUGUGUGCACGAUGAAGUUUUUCGGAAUGUAAAGUGCUUUCAGUUGGGAAGAAAAAAAUGACGGUACCAACAGAAGAAGUGACGGCUAAAUACGUGCCAGCAGCCGCGGUAAUACGUAUGUCACAAGCGUUAUCCGGAUUUAUUGGGCGUAAAGCGCGUCUAGGUGGUUAUAUAAGUCUGAUGUGAAAAUGCAGGGCUCAACUCUGUAUUGCGUUGGAAACUGUGUAACUAGAGUACUGGAGAGGUAAGCGGAACUACAAGUGUAGAGGUGAAAUUCGUAGAUAUUUGUAGGAAUGCCGAUGGGGAAGCCAGCUUACUGGACAGAUACUGACGCUGAAGCGCGAAAGCGUGGGUAACAAACAGG
This 722-nucleotide ribosomal RNA is filed under the name uncultured Fusobacterium sp. RNAcentral describes it as "bacterial SSU rRNA". It matches the Rfam family "Bacterial small subunit ribosomal RNA", at positions 28 to 776 of the family's 1533-position model. The record is from RNAcentral. Lineage: Bacteria; Fusobacteriati; Fusobacteriota; Fusobacteriia; Fusobacteriales; Fusobacteriaceae.